AGAGUUUGAUCCUGGCUCAGAUUGAACGCUGGCGGCAUGCCUUACACAUGCAAGUCGAACGGUAACGCGGGGCAACCUGGCGACGAGUGGCGAACGGGUGAGUAAUGCAUCGGAACGUGCCCAGUAGUGGGGGAUAGCCCGGCGAAAGCCGGAUUAAUACCGCAUACGACCUAAGGGUGAAAGCGGGGGAUCGCAAGACCUCGCGCUAUUGGAGCGGCCGAUGUCAGAUUAGGUAGUUGGUGAGGUAAAGGCUCACCAAGCCUUCGAUCUGUAGCUGGUCUGAGAGGACGACCAGCCACACUGGGACUGAGACACGGCCCAGACUCCUACGGGAGGCAGCAGUGGGGAAUUUUGGACAAUGGGCGCAAGCCUGAUCCAGCCAUGCCGCGUGCGGGAAGAAGGCCUUCGGGUUGUAAACCGCUUUUGUCAGGGAAGAAACGCUCUGGGCUAAUACCCCGGGGUAAUGACGGUACCUGAAGAAUAAGCACCGGCUAACUACGUGCCAGCAGCCGCGGUAAUACGUAGGGUGCAAGCGUUAAUCGGAAUUACUGGGCGUAAAGCGUGCGCAGGCGGUUAUGCAAGACAGAUGUGAAAUCCCCGGGCUUAACCUGGGAACUGCAUUUGUGACUGCAUGGCUAGAGUGCGGCAGAGGGGGAUGGAAUUCCGCGUGUAGCAGUGAAAUGCGUAGAUAUGCGGAGGAACACCGAUGGCGAAGGCAAUCCCCUGGGCCUGCACUGACGCUCAUGCACGAAAGCGUGGGGAGCAAACAGGAUUGGAUACCCUGGUAGUCCACGCCCUAAACGAUGUCAACUGGUUGUUGGAAGGGUUCCCUUUCAGUAACGAAGCUAACGCGUGAAGUUGACCGCCUGGGGAGUACGGCCGCAAGGUUGAAACUCAAAGGAAUUGACGGGACCCGCACAAGCGGUGGAUGAUGUGGUUUAAUUCGAUGCAACGCGAAAAACCUUACCUACCCUUGACAUGUCUGGAAUUCCGCAGAGAUGUGGAAGUGCUCGAAAGAGAGCCAGAACACAGGUGCUGCAUGGCCGUCGUCAGCUCGUGUCGUGAGAUGUUGGGUUAAGUCCCGCAACGAGCGCAACCCUUGUCAUUAGUUGCUACGAAAGGGCACUCUAGUGAGACUGCCGGUGACAAACCGGAGGAAGGUGGGGAUGACGUCAGGUCCUCAUGGCCCUUAUGGGUAGGGCUACACACGUCAUACAAUGGCCGGUACAGAGGGCUGCCAACCCGCGAGGGGGAGCUAAUCCCAGAAAACCGGUCGUAGUCCGGAUCGCAGUCUGCAACUCGACUGCGUGAAGUCGGAAUCGCUAGUAAUCGCGGAUCAGCUUGCCGCGGUGAAUACGUUCCCGGGUCUUGUACACACCGCCCGUC
Molecule: ribosomal RNA, 1386 nt
Filed under: metagenome
Description: bacterial SSU rRNA
Rfam family: Bacterial small subunit ribosomal RNA
Source: RNAcentral